AAAAAGGAAUUUCUUAGGCUGCUCCAUUGAAGUAGCCAUUUAGACAUCCACAUCAGUACUUAAAGAAUAUUAUUCAUUUAGAUCAGCUUUGUUCUCACAGAUUAGCCUUCAUUCAGUUAAUUCAGGGUCCCAUCCCAGAUUAAAGGGAACAAAAUAGAUGAAAGAUCCAAAAGCAUAGAACAGUAAAAGGAUCACAGAAACAGGAAAAUAAAGUUUCACCUGCCCAACUCCAGCAACAAGGA
This 242-nucleotide unclassified non-coding RNA is filed under the name Hevea brasiliensis (rubber tree). Lineage: Eukaryota; Viridiplantae; Streptophyta; Magnoliopsida; Malpighiales; Euphorbiaceae. The record is from RNAcentral.